This 468-nucleotide ribosomal RNA is filed under the name uncultured bacterium. Its description in RNAcentral is "partial 16S ribosomal RNA". It matches the Rfam family "Bacterial small subunit ribosomal RNA", at positions 28 to 507 of the family's 1533-position model. The record is from RNAcentral.
GACGAACGCUGGCGGCGUGCUUAACACAUGCCAGUCGAACGGAAAGACCCUGCUUUUGUGGGGUGCUCGAGUGGCGAACGGGUGCGUAACACGUGAGUAACCUGCCCUUGACUUUGGGAUAACUUCAGGAAACUGGGGCUAAUACCGGAUAGGAGCCCCUGUUGCAUGGUGGGCGUUGGAACGUUUCGGCGGUUGGGGAUGGACUGGCGGCUUAUCAGCUUGUUGGUGGGGUAGUGGCUUACCAAGGCUUUGACGGGUAGCCGGCCUGGGAGGGUGACCGGCCACAUUGGGACUGAGAGACGGCCCAGACUCCUACGGGAGGCAGCAGUGGGGAAUAUUGCACAAUGGGCGGAAGCCUGAUGCAGCGACGCCGCGUGCGGGAUGACGGCCUUCGGGUUGUAAACCGCUUUCGCCUGUGACGAAGCGUGAGUGACGGUAAUGGGUAAAGAAGCACCGGCUAACUACGUG